UUGAAAGGGAAACGAUUGAAGUCAGUCGUACCGACGAGAAAUCAGCUUUUCGAAUGUGCAUUUGUGGGCGUAUGAGAUCUUCAUUGUUUGCAAUAUGUAUAUUUCUUUGGUGUACUUUUUCGUAUGGUAGGUCAACGUCGGUUUUGAUCGCCAUAAAAUGAUCGGAGGAAUGUAGCUUCGGCUUCGGUUGAAGUGUUAUAGCCUUUGGUAAAUGUGGUGAUUAGGACCGAGGAUUGCAACGAAUACCUUUUAGGCUAUCCGUCUGACCUCUGAAAGUUACUUAGGUGCCGAAAGCUUGCUUACGGUCAUUUAAUUGACAGUCAAUAGGUUAGAACGUGAUUACAUUCGUUAAGGAUGUUGACGUA
RNAcentral lists this ribosomal RNA (365 nucleotides) under uncultured Glomeromycotina. RNAcentral's name for it is "LSU rRNA". Lineage: Eukaryota; Fungi; Glomeromycota. The record is from RNAcentral.